CUAACAGAUUGCCUCUUGUGAUGUUGAUUGAUUUGCAGGCUUACUGGUUUUGGUUCAGUUUGAAGGGCUCUCCGGGCUUAAGAUCUUGGUUUCAUUAGAAUUACAGAAUUUCUUUGCUCGGUAGUAUUGCCGGUGGUGGCAGUUUUACUUUGUGGAUGUAGGUUCUGUUGCCAGUGACACCUCAUGAAUUUUCUGUUAGAUUUAGCAGCCAUACAUACUGAAAGGGACACCUUUGGACAUUCCCUUGCUUUUUCAACAGUCUAAUUACUCGCAUGUAAAAACUGCAUCCAUUUUGGUAUGUGAUACUGCAAGUGUAAAUUUAGAACUGGACCUUAUGGUCUGGCUUCAGUAUCUAUUCAUCAUGGUUAUGUGCAUACUGCAUAAAAAUGGAGUAUCCUUGUGCUCAUUUGAGCUUGCUAUUAUGCCUUGCGUGUGCAUUAAAAUGGAGAGUUCUUUAGGUAAGAUCCUGGUCUUUGUUCUUUCUUACAUGGGAUCUUGAUCUUAGCCUGCCACCAAUGUCAAAUAUAUUUACUCAAAGAUGUUAGGCUUGCUAAUCUAUUUAAUGACAGUAGAUAUCACAUGCCUACUGUCAAUGGCAAAGCUUUGUCGCCAUUAUGAUAAUCUAAAAGACACCUCUGCAGUUUCUGUUGUUGUUUCAGUUUAAAGUAAGCAGUCAGCAUCCAACAACCUUUCUUCACUAUGAACAUAGAUGAUGUAUUGUUGCAGCUUAGGGAAUCCUAUUGACAUGCUUUUGAACUGAACACCUUCCAGAUGUGGCUUCUCAACUAGGCUACGGCAUCAACUCUUUGUGCCUAGAUGUCAUGGUCCUCGAGCUAAGCAGUAUAAAAAUAGUACUCCCUCCAUCUGGAAAUACAUGUCAUCAAAAUGGAUAAAAAGGGAUGUAUCUAGAACUAAAAUACGUCUAGAUACAUCCCCUUGUAUUCAUCUUGAUGACAAGUAUUUCCGGACGGAGGAAGUAGAUAGACAUGUGCCUAUUAUCAUGUACAGUUGGAGAAAAUGCAAAUAACUAUGCUUCAAUACAAGUCCUUUUCGUAAAUCUGACCACUGGUAACAUUGGACAUGUCUUGAUGUAUUUAUUUUCUCAGAUUGUGAGGUAGAUUGAGAAGCCUGUUUGUCAUCCCAUUUGUCGUUCAUUUACAUAACAUGUCGGUUUUAUCGUCGGAUUCGUGUCAGAAGGGACCAAUGAUUUUGCCAUUCGGAAGCUCAUGCUUAAGUUAAGUUGUAUGGCUAUAAUUUUCUCUGUAUAUUACACAGAUACACUUCCUUCCUGAGAUAAUUAUAAUCAUUUGUUCCUGGUAGUCUCAUUGUACUUGUUCAUUUGUUCCUCUGAUUUUUUCCUUCUCUUGUUGCUUUAUUCCGUAUUGUGCCCAUGUACUGCAGUGCUCGUUUUUGUCUUCCCCUGUUGUUCAUCAGCUCAGGAUGACGCUUGAUUUUAGCCUCGAGGAACUACGAACAUUUGCAUUGCAAAACUACUGGCUUUUCUUUUUAUGACACACUAAUCCUUUUUUCGUUUGUCGCGUUUUGUAUCAAUAAUUGCGCCAUUCACUUUACAAUUUUGAUAUGUUCUGGAUUUUAUUUCAGGUUGUCUUGAGCUUUGGCACAGUGGUAAAGCUGCUGCCUUGUGACCUCAAGUCCUGGAAACAGCCUCUUACAGAAAUGUAGGGAAAGGCUGCUUACUAUAGACCCAAAGUGGUCGGACCCUUCCCCGGAACCUGCGCAAGCGGGAGCUACAUGCACCGUGGCUGCCCUUUUGUCUUGUUGUAUCUGGACACAAACUUGUCCACGUUUUAAAAUCAUGUCUUAAUGGUCUGUUUAUCUGGUAAGUUUGAUACACUACUCUCUCUUGAGAACAAGUCGCACAGUUUCUGAAUAUCACUUUCAUGCUUCAUAGUGAUCAAUAGUUCGGUUUGUUUUCCAGGGUCCCAAGAGCUUGGCUUAGGUUUCUUCUUUGCAAAUAAAAAUGUUCUCUGCAUAGUGGAUACAUGUACUUAUAGUAGAUGAUGUAUUGUUGCAGCUUAGGGUACCUGGCAUCAAGAACCCGACAUUCUUUUCCCGGAGUUUGUUGAGGUGAGCCACCUGGGCAGGUCUAUGGGUUGAGGUGGUUUCAUAAUCCUUUGUUGUUCCUCUUUUUCCUGCGCUUUUUUAUCAGCAAAUGCUUUUAUUCGUUGGAAAAUGGCAGUAUCGUUUACAAGUAUUCCAUGCUACAGGCUAGGUCGCUUCUUAGUAACGACUCUUUGUCUCUCCCAUCAGCGUCACUGUCCCUUGCAUAAGAGACCAAGGUGGCUUAUGAGUAACACGUGAGUUGCAAGUGUGAGCAUCCAUCUUGGUUAUUUUGACGCUGAUGUAAAUGGAUUGCUUGAGGAAUGUGAGAUUGUGUCCUUAAUUUGUACAUACAUAUUCAUGCACAGUUUACAGAUUUUGGUCUUUUAUGCAUGUCUUGUUGAUUUUUCUAAAACAAGAUAUAUAUUUCUGUAGGUUUCUCCUUGCCGUCGGUAGUAGCAGUGAGCAUAGGGGCAGCGGCCGCGGUCGCCCAAGGCGCAGAGCCGCACGGUGGCUGGUCCUGCUUCCGCCAGAGCGGACUGGCGGAGGUCGAUGCAGGGUCGAGGUGGGCACGAGCGAGGGUCAUUUGGUUGUACUUCAUCUGCCAAAGCACUAUUGAGACAACGAAUUUCAGCUAUAUUAUGAGCCGAACCAUAUAAAGUAUGUGCAUCCUGGGUGGAAUGCUUUCUGUUCAUCAGCUGGUCUCCCAACACGUACUGCUGACAAAAGAAAAGAAGGGAGCUUUUAAGGAUAACGGCGACGGUGUGGACGAGCUCGUGCGCUCCCGCUAGCUGGACGAACGACUCCAUGACGCAUAGCACAGCGUAUUUACUGCUAUGGUGUGCAUUGACGUCGAGUACAGGUGCUCCACCGUCCAAACUAACCCGAAAGUGGCGGCUGAGCUUCGUGUUGUUCCGUUGGAACAUGAAUGUCGGAGGGGCCCAUAACCGAAUGUCGCCGUCAACUUCCGCUACUGAGACGGCAUCCUCCGAAAGGGUACUUGGGUGCCUAACUCUGAAAAGUAAAUGGGUACCCAUGUUUGGGCCCAUGGUCGUCUCGGCGUCGCUGACCAGUAAAAGAAAUAUAUCUUCCUUCUCCCAUAGCCGCCUACAGAGCAGGAGCUCAUGGCGAUGCAGAUGUCGGCCGCCGGAGGUGUUGAAGUCGAGUUUUUGUCAGAUCCCGUCGACAGGUACACUUUUCCGCUACCAGUUUCUCUUCCUGUCGACAGGUACACUAGCAGCUGAUCUGUUGUUCCUUCUUGAAAAAGAUUUCCACCGCCAGAUCUCGCUGCCGCACAGCCCUUGGUUGCUUACGAGACGUACAAAUCCAUGGAGUGUGAGCCUGCUGAGUCCAGCAUUGGUGAUGUGGGAGACGCUCCGGUCAACGGUAAUUGCGAUGCGAUUGCCUUGUCCGCAGCAGCAUCUGAGCAUUCUACGGGCAAAGACACCCCUGAAGCCCCAGGCUGGAGGAAGAGGUACAGCAGUUUGCCAAAUCUUCAGUUAGCAUUAUAUGUGCAGAUGACCUAUUCUUGCGUUAUCUUAAGACGAACUGUCGGAUAUUCAAAUUCAGUCGUGUAUCACAUGUAAUUAAACACUGCAUUCAACGAUGAGGCCUAAGAAAUUCAAUCCAAUUGAUGCAGAAUGCUCGGAAGUUCAUCUAGCGAGCGCCACCCAUGCGCUGACAGGAUGAGUGCUUUGGAAGCAACACUAAGAAACUAUGCAGAGAAAAAAAUUGACACUGUCGUAGUUCCUACUAUGGGGACAAAAUUUGAUUCUCUUGGAGAAGCCUGCUAGAACAUGUCCCUGGAUGUGCAUGGAUGCAGAAAAUCUCCUUGGGAUAUAGAGCUGGAAAUCUGGGACUUAGGGUGUUCUAGAGCAUCCGUGUCAUCCAAGUGAGAGGAGAAUAUCAUUUGUCUUUAGGACAUGCUUGCUGAACAUGCAAGUUCCCUAGACGAAGGAUGAGUAUAACUGAUGAAGCUUUAUGCAGUCUAUUGGCGCCCAUCUCGUACAGAGCUAUUGCCGAGAGCGCCUUUGCAUCUGACGUCGUGCGCCAGCGCUGGUCAUAGGGGACCACACGCAGCUUGAUCAGCUCGCCAUGGUCCCGCAGGCCCGUUUUCUUCCCUUGGAGAGCCUAAGAGCAUUACUAGUAGAACCCUCAAACCCUCAAACCCUCACUAGCGUUUUAUGGGUCCAAAAAUGAUCUUUUUAUGCACUUUUACGGGUUGAAAAACAGGGGCAAAGAUUAGAACCCUCAAAUCCAACCCUUAUAACGGAAUAUUUCCCAUGAACGACGUUGUCGUUGCGCGCGGGAGGUCGACGGGGUGGUCACCGCGACGGGGCGACUAGCAGCGGCGGUUGCGGGCGUUGGCGCGGGAGUUGGGAGGAUUUUUCCCUCCCGCGCGAGGAUAACCGCCAAAUGAGGGUUGGGGUAGGUUUUGCUCCCCAACCCUUACUUUUGAGGAUUAGGAGAGGGUUUGAGGGUUGGACCUUUAAAAAAAUUUGAGGGUUUGAGGGUUAAGGGGUUCUAGUCUACGGCUUUUUUUUGAUGAAAACUGUAAAAAAAAGCAGUUAUUUUUAGGGGUUUGAGGGCUCUAAUAGUCUCCUUGUCCACGUGCCCUCUAUAAAGGAACAUGCCAAUCUCUUCGUCACAGCCACCCUGGUAAAAAGAGGAAGAUGUUUAGUCGAGGUAUUGCACAACCAGGAGCAAGUGUAAGUUCUUAGAACAGGUAUUGAAAUUGCGUCAGCAUGGAUCAAGAGAACUUUUCCAUUCCAGGUAUAUGAUGCCAAAUGAACAUCCCAUUUUGUAACACCCCGGAUGUUACUUUCCAUAAUUGUAACUCCAACUCUUGCCAUUUCCGGCUAUGUGAUAUAUUAUUUCCUUCGUGGUUGGGUUUUGUCUUUUGUUUUGCUUUUUGUUCAUGUCAUCCAUCUCAUCUCAUAGCAUCAUGCGCAUUGCAUCGGCAUUGUUUUCUUAAAACUUGCAUCCGCUCGUAGUUGCCGCUCCUCGCUUCUCUCCGUUGCGUUCGUUGACCGAUCCGAGUCUAACCGGGUUUUCGAUUCCCUCUUGUCUGACCAUUUGACCCCCCUCUACUCUUUACUCAAACCCCUAGCGCGCGUCCGAAAGUUGUCCCGAACCCGACCCGCUCCGUCGUUAUCAAUGGGUCCGGAUCAUCUCCAAACAUCUAUAAAACAUCUCCGUUUUCGUAUUUGGGAUUCACUACCUAUUUAUUCCCAUCCGUCGGAUUUCGAUCGGAUGAUCCAAACUCCCUCAUUUCCUUAUAUAUAGAGCAACCCCUAACCAAAUCAGACCUAACCCUAGCCCCUAGCCUACCCUAACCCUUGCGCCGCCGCCACUCCUCUCCCUCGGGAUCCAUCCCGCAGCCACCUGGUCUCCCCCUGCCACCCAGUCUCGUCGAUCCAUCCAUCCAUCGAUCCCCACCAACCGCAGCCCCGACCAGAUCCCUGGUUUUCUGCGCAGCCGCCUGAGCAUCUCGAUCCCGAGUGGAUCAAGCGCUUCGCCUCCAAGCCCAGCCUCCCCUGCUCAUGCCCGAGCCUCCCGGCGUCCAGGAGCACGAGCUCCCUCGCGUCGCUGCCUCAUCAGCUCCGCUGCCGGCAGCAGCACUCGAGCCCUGCCUCAUCGUCCUUUGUCCUCGCAACCGCCUUCUUCUGCAACCACUGGAGUUCCUCCCGAGAGGGAGCGCUCGCGCCCGAGGCCCCAGCUGGCCCAAGCUCUUCUCCAACCAGAACCCAAGCGCCAGCAGCAGCCAUCUCCCUCGCGAGCCCCUGCUUCCUCGCGCUCCGUCGCCGUCCCGUCGUCCAAGCCUCCUCUGCUUGCGCACAAGCUCCGCGACUUCGUCAGCCUCGUCGCCACCGUCGACCCGCAGGCCAGCACCUUGCCUCCUCCUCCCAUCCUCUUCUUCGGCUUCCCCUCUCUCUAAUCCCUCUCUCUCCCAGAUCCUCCGCCGCCAUGGAUGCCCGCCGCUGCUUCGUCCUGGAACAGAUCCUCGUCGCCCCGAGCCCGCGCAAGCUGUCGAGCCCCGCCGCCGCCGGGAACGGGCUUCCCGCGCCCUGGAUCCGGUCGAUCCGAGCUUCUCCAUGCCCAAGACCUCACCGCCCAUUUGCCCCGCUCGCCGGAGCUCUGCUCCCGGUCACCGCCGCCCUGCUCGCCUCCUACUGCAACCGCCUCCUGCGUUCCUGCCACGAGCGCGUUGACCACGCCCUGCACCGCUUCGAUCUGCCUCGGAGGCCCAGCGCUACGCCAAGCCCACCUCCACAAUCCGGCCUGCUUCAGCCUCCUCCACCGACCGGCCCAUGAGGCCUGGUGAGCAGCCCCCGCCCCCUAUGCACUAUUGGGCCAGCCUGCAGUUUCGGCCCGCAUGUGUUUUUUUUCCUGUUCUGGACGUUUUGCUAAUUAUCCAGUGAUUUACAGUUUUGCAGAAAAGUCCCUCUAGUUCAUACAUUUAAUAACUCACAAAUGGUGCAGCGGAUUAAAAUGAUUUAAACAUGUAAAAUGCUUAGAAUUUUGUGUAGAUUAAUAAUUUGCAACUUUCACCCAUGUUAAAGUUGUUUAAAUGUGUUGUUUGAAUUAAUUUGCUAAAAUGCCAUGUUAAAAUGAUUUAUUUCAUAACUAAAUAACCGUAGCUUGGUUUUAAAUAAACUUUAUAUGUAAAUGGGGUGGAAAAAUGCCUAGUUUAACAUGGUGGACUUUAUUUCCCUGUUUAACAACAAUAAAAUAUGUUUUAGGGCAGAACAGUAGCAAAUUCAUAAAUUGCAUAUGAGGAUUUCCGGAAUUGUUGUUUAUUGUUCCGGCCUCAUUUAAACUUGCCUAAAUAGUUAGUCUACUUAUGCUUCACCCCUUGCCAUGUUGAAUAACAUUUAAUAUUGUUGGGUACAUAAACAAGAGCGAACUAAGUAACUUGAAUGUGGUGUUUCGUCAAUAUGCAACCCGUUGCAUAUUGAGCUCCACUUAAUUUAUAGUGUUGUUUGUUGCACUUUGCCAUGCCAUGCUCUUUAAAUCGGACAUGCAUCAUACUUGGUUGUGCAUCAUGCCAUGUUUAUGCUUGUGUGUUUACCAUGUUGUUUGUUUGUUUCUGGUGUUGCUUCUUCUUGAUAGUUCCUAUUUUGUUGCGAUCGUGAGGAUUCGUUCAACUACGCUUGGUUCGACUACGUCUGUUCGUCUUCUUCAUGGACUCGUUCUUCCUCCUAGCGGGAUUUCAGGCAAGAUGACCAUCACCUUGGAUCUCACUACUAUCAUUGCUAUGCUAGUUGCUUCGUCUAUCGCUUUGCAGCGCUACCUAUCUCUUGUCUAUCAAGCCUCCCAAAUUGCCAUGUCAGCCUCUAACCUUUUCACCCUUCCUAGCAAACCGUUGCUUGGCUAUGUUACCGCUUUUGCUCACCCCCUUGUGGCUUCAUGGUGGUGAGGGCUAACGGAUUGGGGAGGAGGAGAAGAGGAGGCGGCGGAUUGGGGAGGAGAGGAGGAGGCGGCGGAUUGGGGAGGAGAGGAGGAGGAGGAAGAGAAGAGGAGGCGGCGGAUUGGAGAGGAGGAGAAGAGGAGGCGGCAGAUUGGGGAGGAGAGGAGGCUCUCGGUAGGCUAGCGCGCGUGCACUGUUCAUAGCGCGAAUAGAAGGAGACGUGGCCACUGGCGCUAGUUGGGCGUAUUGGCUCAUCCUUUAUAUGUUCAAUGUUGGGCGGUUGAAAUAUGUUCUAUAUUGCAGGUGAUGGGCAGCUGACUUUUAUUGUGCACUUGUGCUGAUUUUGACUUCUGCUUAAUUUGAUACCUACUGUAUAAGUAAUGACACUAAUAUAAUAGAUAUCAGACUAAUGGAUUUGCUAACAGAUUGCCUCUUGUGAUGUUGAUUGAUUUGCAGGCUUACUGGUUUUGGUUCAGUUUGAAGGGCUCUCCGGGCUUAAGAUCUUGGUUUCAUUAGAAUUACAGAAUUUCUUUGCUCGGUAGUAUUGCCGGUGGUGGCAGUUUUACUUUGUGGAUGUAGGUUCUGUUGCCAGUGACACCUCAUGAAUUUUCUGUUAGAUUUAGCAGCCAUACAUACUGAAAGGGACACCUUUGGACAUUCCCUUGCUUUUUCAACAGUCUAAUUACUCGCAUGUAAAAACUGCAUCCAUUUUGGUAUGUGAUACUGCAAGUGUAAAUUUAGAACUGGACCUUAUGGUCUGGCUUCAGUAUCUAUUCAUCAUGGUUAUGUGCAUACUGCAUAAAAAUGGAGUAUCCUUGUGCUCAUUUGAGCUUGCUAUUAUGCCUUGCGUGUGCAUUAAAAUGGAGAGUUCUUUAGGUAAGAUCCUGGUCUUUGUUCUUUCUUACAUGGGAUCUUGAUCUUAGCCUGCCACCAAUGUCAAAUAUAUUUACUCAAAGAUGUUAGGCUUGCAAAUCUAUUUAAUGACAGUAGAUAUCACAUGCCUACUGUCAAUGGCAAAGCUUUG
Molecule: long non-coding RNA, 8495 nt
Filed under: Triticum aestivum (bread wheat)
Lineage: Eukaryota; Viridiplantae; Streptophyta; Magnoliopsida; Poales; Poaceae
Description: long non-coding RNA (TAES_LNC007268)
Rfam family: MIR1120/MIR1122 microRNA precursor family (bases 849-983)
Source: RNAcentral